This 254-nucleotide ribosomal RNA is filed under the name uncultured bacterium. RNAcentral's name for it is "partial 16S ribosomal RNA". It matches the Rfam family "Bacterial small subunit ribosomal RNA", at positions 524 to 777 of the family's 1533-position model. The record is from RNAcentral.
UACGUAGGGCGCAAGCGUUAUCCGGAAUUAUUGGGCGUAAAGAGCUCGUAGGCGGUUUGUCGCGUCUGCUGUGAAAGACCGGGGCUCAACUCCGGUUCUGCAGUGGGUACGGGCAGACUAGAGUGCAGUAGGGGAGACUGGAAUUCCUGGUGUAGCGGUGAAAUGCGCAGAUAUCUGGAGGAACACCGGUGGCGAAGGCGGCAUCCUGGACCAAUAUUGACGCUGAGGAGCGAAAGCCAGGGGAGCAAAGCGGG